CCUACGGGAGGCAGCAGUGAGGAAUAUUGGUCAAUGGACGGGAGUCUGAACCAGCCAAGUCGCGUGAAGGAUGACUGCCCUAUGGGUUGUAAACUUCUUUUGUAUGGGAAUAAAAUGGUCCACGUGUGUUCUGUUGUAUGUACCAUAUGAAUAAGGAUCGGCUAACUCCGUGCCAGCAGCCGCGGUAAUACGGAGGAUCCGAGCGUUAUCCGGAUUUAUUGGGUUUAAAGGGAGCGUAGGUGGAUUGUUAAGUUAGUUGUGAAAGGUUGCGGCUCAACCGUAAAACUGCAGUUGAAACUGGCAGUCUUGAGUACAGGAGAGGUAGGCGGAAUGCGUGGUGUAGCGGUGAAAUGCUUAGAUAUCACGAAGAACGCCGAUUGCGAAGGCAGCUUACUGGACUGCAACUGACGCUGAGGCACGAAAGCGUGGGUAUCAAACAGGAUUAGAUACCCGGGUAGUC
This 460-nucleotide ribosomal RNA is filed under the name uncultured bacterium. RNAcentral's name for it is "partial 16S ribosomal RNA". It matches the Rfam family "Bacterial small subunit ribosomal RNA", at positions 338 to 795 of the family's 1533-position model. The record is from RNAcentral.